AAAAGCUCGUAGUUGGAUCUCAGUUCCAGACGGGUGGUCCGCCUACCGGUGGUUACUGCCUGUUCUGAACAGCCAGCCGGUUUCUCUUGAUGAUCUUCACCGGUUGUCUUGGGUGACCGGCAAGUUUACUUUGAAAAAAUUAGAGUGCUCAAAGCAGGCGCGACGCCUGAAUAAUGGUGCAUGGAAUAAUGGAAUAGGACCUCGGUUCUAUUUUGUUGGUUUUCGGAACACGAGGUAAUGAUUAAGAGGGACAGACGGGGGCAUUCGUAUUGCGACGCUAGAGGUGAAAAAAGUUAGAGGUUCGAAGGCGAUCAGAUACCGCCCUAGUUCUAACCAUAAACGAUGCCAGCCAGCGAUCCGGCUGUGUUCCUCAAAUGACACGCCGGGCAGCUUCCGGGAAACCAAAGCUUUUGGGUUCCGGGGGAAGUAUGGUUGCAAAGCUGAAACUUAAAGGAAUUGACGGAAGGGCACCACCAGGAAUGGAGCCUGCGGCUUAAUUUGACUCAACACGGGAAAACUUACCCGGCCCGGACACAGGAAGGAUUGACAGAUUAAGAGCUCUUUCUUGAUUCUGUGGGUGGUGGUGCAUGGCCGUUCUUAGUUGGUGGAGCGAUUUGUCUGGUUAAUUCCGAUAACGAACGAGACUCUAGCCUACUAAAUAGACGUUCCGAUCAUCUCCGUCGGACGUUCUUCUUAGAGGGACAAGCGGCGUUUAGCCGCACGAGACAGAGCAAUAACAGGUCUGUGAUGCCCUUAGAUGUCCGGGGCCGCACGCGCGCUACAUUGAAGGAAUCAACGUGUGUUCCCUGUCCGACAGGACUGGGUAACCCGUGGAACCUCCUUCGUGCUAGGGAUUGAAUCGUGUAACAAAUUCAUGAACGAGGAAUUCCCAGUAAGCACGAGUCAUCAGCUCGUGUUGAUUACGUCCCUGCCCUUUGUACACACCGCCCGUCGCUACUACCGAUUGAAUGAUUUAGUGAGGUCUUCGGACUGGCGCUCGGAGCGGCCUUCGGGUCGCGCCGGCGUGCCGGAAAGAUGACCAAACUUGAUCAUUUCGUAAGAGUACCGGAGGCAAGGCCCCCAGAAAACAACUAGCCACCAAAGCAGCUCGUAAGAGCGCACCCGCUACCGGUGGCGUUAAGAAACCCCAUCGUUACAGGCCCGGUACUGUCGCUCUCCGAGAAAUUCGUCGUUACCAGAAGUCUACCGAACUUCUCAUCCGUAAGCUUCCUUUCCAACGUCUCGUUAGAGAGAUCGCUCAGGAUUUUAAAACGGAUCUCCGCUUUCAGAGUUCGGCUGUCAUGGCUCUCCAGGAAGCCAGCGAAGCUUAUUUGGUCGGAUUGUUCGAAGAUACCAACUUGUGCGCUAUUCACGCCAAGCGC
This 1382-nucleotide ribosomal RNA is filed under the name Fecenia sp. MACR. RNAcentral describes it as "bacterial SSU rRNA". The stretch from base 1 to 1093 matches the Rfam family "Eukaryotic small subunit ribosomal RNA", at positions 622 to 1831 of the family's 1831-position model. The record is from RNAcentral. Lineage: Eukaryota; Metazoa; Arthropoda; Arachnida; Araneae; Psechridae.